This 137-nucleotide small nucleolar RNA is filed under the name Meriones unguiculatus (Mongolian gerbil). RNAcentral's name for it is "Small nucleolar RNA SNORA17 (ENSMUGG00000020375.1)". It matches the Rfam family "Small nucleolar RNA SNORA17". Rfam says of the family: snoRNA ACA 17 belongs to the H/ACA family of snoRNAs and is predicted to guide pseudouridylation of the 28S rRNA at positions U4659 and U4598. The record is from RNAcentral. Lineage: Eukaryota; Metazoa; Chordata; Mammalia; Rodentia; Muridae.
CCUGUCCCCAGAGGUGUUGUAGGUGUGGCUGCUUUGCCUAGUGUUCCUUAGUAGGUGGGAGAGAGGAGAGAGGAGAGAGGCUGUCCUAUGCUCAGUGUUCUGACUAAGCACAUCUCAAUGAUUAGCAGCCUAACAUU